AGUGAACGCUGGCGGUAGGCCCAACACAUGCAAGUCGAACGGCAGCACAGUAAGAGCUUGCUCUUACGGGUGGCGAGUGGCGGACGGGUGAGGAAUACAUCGGAAUCUACUUUUUCGUGGGGGAUAACGGAGGGAAACUUACGCUAAUACCGCAUACGACCUACGGGUGAAAGCAGGGGAUCUUCGGACCUUUCGCGAUUGAAUGAGCCGAUGUCGGAUUAGCUAGUUGGCGGGGUAAAGGCCCACCAAGGCGACGAUCCGUAGUUGGUCUGAGAGGAUGAUCAGCCACACUGGAACUGAGACACGGUCCAGACUCCUACGGGAGGCAGCAGUGGGGAAUAUUGGACAAUGGGCGCAAGCCUGAUCCAGCCAUACCGCGUGGGUGAAGAAGGCCUUCGGGUUGUAAAGCCCUUUUGUUGGGAAAGAAAAGCAGCAGGUUAAUACCCCGCUGUUCUGACGGUACCCAAAGAAUAAGCACCGGCUAACUUCGUG
Molecule: ribosomal RNA, 492 nt
Filed under: uncultured bacterium
Lineage: Bacteria
Description: partial 16S ribosomal RNA
Rfam family: Bacterial small subunit ribosomal RNA
Source: RNAcentral